Long non-coding RNA from Bos taurus (domestic cattle), 445 nucleotides. NCBI's taxonomy places the organism in Eukaryota, Metazoa, Chordata, Mammalia, Artiodactyla, Bovidae. The record is from Ensembl.
UGAAAGUGAAGUCACUCAGUCGUGUCCGACUCUCUGCGACCCCAUGGACCGUAGCCCACCAGGCUCCUCCGUCCAUGGAAUUUUCCAGAGCAAAUACAUAAAGACUGGAUGGAUAAUAUAAAUGAUUUAUGUUAUUUGUUCAAUUUAUACAUCUUUAUUGGGAUUCUUCUGUGUCUACUGAAGAUACAAGGAUGAAAAAGAAAAUCAUGUCCUUAUUCUCAAGGCCUUUACAUUCUAGUGAAAAAAUUGAAUUGCCAUUGUGACCACUGAAUUCUUCGUGAGAACCUUUCCUGCUUCAACUUUGCCAAAAAAUCAUAUGCUAACUAAAAACCUAACAAACUCACCUGGGAAGAUCUUGGGAAGAAUGGGACUUAGAAUGAGUAGCUGUAAGGAAAGUCAGAAAAUGUGACCCUUUGAAAGCGAAGUGAGCGCAAUACACAGCAAG